GAUGAGCGCUAGCGGCAGGCUUAAUACAUGCAAGUCGAGGGGCAUCAAGGUACACGAAAGUGUAUUGUUGGCGACCGGCGGACGGGUGAGUAAUAGGUAGGUAACCUACCUCAUACUGAGGCAUAGCUGGGAGAAAUUCCAGGUAAUUCCUCAUGAGGUUAUAUGACACAUGUGAUAUAAUCAAAGGUAUCGCAAGGUACUGGUAUGAGAUGGGCUUACUGACCAUUAGCUAGUUGGUGAGAUAAGAGCUCACCAAGGCGAAGAUGGUUAGGGGUUUUGAGAGAGAGAUCCCCCACAUUGGAACUGAGAUACGGUCCAGACUCCUACGGGAGGCAGCAGUAGGGAAUAUUGGGCAAUGGGCGGAAGCCUGACCCAGCCAUGCCGCGUGAAGGAAGACGGCCUUAUGGGUUGUAAACUUCUUUAACUAUGCGACUAACUAGAUUUACGAGAUAAUUCUAUAGAAUGUAGCAUAGCAAAAAGCACC
Molecule: ribosomal RNA, 484 nt
Filed under: uncultured bacterium
Lineage: Bacteria
Description: bacterial SSU rRNA
Rfam family: Bacterial small subunit ribosomal RNA
Source: RNAcentral